Odocoileus virginianus texanus is the source of this 1857-nucleotide non-coding RNA. The record is from RefSeq and is a predicted model, not a curated record. Lineage: Eukaryota; Metazoa; Chordata; Mammalia; Artiodactyla; Cervidae.
CGUUCUCUCUCCCUCUCCCAACAUGGCGGCCUCAGUGAAAAAGAAGAAUAAGAAGGGGAAGGCUAUCUCCCUGACAGACUUUCUGGCUGAGGAUGGAGGGACUGGUGGAGGCAGCACCUAUGUCCCCAAACCAGUCAGCUGGGCUGAUGAAACAGACGAUCUGGAAGGGGAUGUUUCAACCACUUGGCAUAGUAAUGAUGAUGAAGUGUAUCAGGCACCUCCAAUUGACCGUUCCAUCCUGCCCACUGCUCCACGGGCUGCUCGGGAACCCAGUAUCGACCGGAGCCAUCUUCCCAAAUCUCCACCCUACACUGCUUUUCUAGGGAACCUGCCCUAUAAUGUGACAGAAGACUCCAUUAAGGAAUUCUUUAGAGGAUUAAAUAUCAGUGCGGUGCAUUUACCGCCUGAACCCAGCAAUCCUGAAAGGUUAAAAGGUUUUGGUUAUGCUGAGUUUGAGGACCUGGAUUCCUUGCUCAGUGCCCUGAGCCUCAACGAAGAGUCUCUAGGUAACAGGAGAAUUCGAGUGGACGUUGCUGAUCGAGCACAGGAUAAAGACAGGGAUGAUCAUUCUUUUGGCCAAGAUAGAAAUAGUGAUACUGACAAAACAGAUACCGACUGGAGGGCCCGUCCUGCUGCAGACAGCUUUGAUGACUACCCGCCUAGAAGGGGUGAUGAUAGCUUUGGAGACAAGUAUCGAGAUCGUUACGAUUCAGACCGAUAUCAUGAUGGGUAUCGGGACAGUUACCGUGAUGGCCCAUGCCGGGACAUGGAUCGAUACGGGGGCCGAGAUCACUAUGAUGACCAAGGUGGCAGAGACUAUGACAGAGGCUACGAUUCCAGGAUAGGCAGUGGCAGAAGAGCGUUCGGUAGCGGGUACCGUAGGGAUGAUGACUACAGAGGAGGCGGGGACCGCUAUGAAGACAGAUAGGACAGACGAGAUGACCGGUCCUAGAGCUCCAGAGAUGAUUACUCUCGGGAUGAUUAUAGGCGGGAUAAUAGAGGUCCCCCCCAAAGGCCCAAACUGAACCUAAAGCCUCGGAGCACUCCUAAGGAAGAUGAUUCCUCCGCUAGCACCUCCCAGUCCAGUCGGGCAGCCUCUAUCUUUGGAGGGGCAAAGCCUGUUGACACAGCUGCUGGAGAACGAGAAGUAGAAGAGCGGCUACAGAAGGAACAAGAGAGACUGCAGCAUCAGCUGGAUGAGCCAAAACUAGAACGACGGCCUCGGGAGAGGCACCCAAGCUGGCAAAGUGAAGAAACUCAGGAACAGGAACGAUCGAGGACAGGAAGUGAGUCAUCACAGACUGGGACCUCAGCCACAUUUGGCAGAAAUGCACGAAGAAGAGAGAGUGAGAAGUCUCUAGAAAAUGAAACCCCCAAUAAAGAGGAAGACUGUCAGUCUCCAACUUCUAAGCCUCCCAAACCUGAACAGCCUCUAAAGGUAAUGCCAGCCCCUCCACCAAAGGAGAAUGCUUGGGUGAAGCGAAGUUCUAACCCUCCUGCUCGAUCUCAGAGCUCAGACACAGAGCAGCAGUCCCCUACAAGUGGUGGAGGGAAAGUAGUUCCAGCUCAACCACCUGAGGAGGGAUAGGCAAGGAAAGAUGAAAAUAAAAUAGAUGGGGUAAGUGCCCCAAAAGGCCAAAGUGGGAACUCCAGCCGUGGUCCCGGAGAUGGAGGGAACAAAGACCACUGGAAGGAGUCAGAUAGGAAAGAUGGCAAAAAGGAUCAUGACUCCAGAUCUGCACCUGAGCCAAAGAAAGCUGAAGAAAAUCCAGCCUCGAAGUUCAGUUCUGUCUGCAAGCAAAUAUGCUGCUCUUGCCAGAUGGUGAAGAUGAAAAUGAGGGAGAUUACACUGAAUAG